AACGAACGCUGGCGGCAUGCCUAACACAUGCAAGUCGAACGAGACCUUCGGGUCUAGUGGCGCACGGGUGCGUAACGCGUGGGAACCUGCCCUUAGGUUCGGAAUAACUCCCCGAAAGGGGUGCUAAUACCGGAUAAUGUCUUCGGACCAAGGAUUUAUCGCCUUUGGAUGGGCCCGCGUUGGAUUAGCUAGUUGGUAGGGUAAAAGCCUACCAAGGCGACGAUUCAUAGCUGGUCUGAGAGGAUGAUCAGCCACACUGGGACUGAGACACGGCCCAGACUCCUACGGGAGGCAGCAGUGGGGAAUAUUGGACAAUGGGCGAAAGCCUGAUCAAGCAAUGCCGCGUGAGUGAUGAAGGCCUUAGGGUUGUAAAGCUCUUUUACCCGGGAUGAUAAUGACAGUACCGGGAGAAUAAGCUCCGGCUAACUCCGUG
Molecule: ribosomal RNA, 433 nt
Filed under: uncultured bacterium
Lineage: Bacteria
Description: partial 16S ribosomal RNA
Rfam family: Bacterial small subunit ribosomal RNA
Source: RNAcentral